RNAcentral lists this ribosomal RNA (850 nucleotides) under Pristimantis leopardus. Its description in RNAcentral is "partial 16S ribosomal RNA". It matches the Rfam family "Bacterial large subunit ribosomal RNA", at positions 1534 to 2608 of the family's 2925-position model. Lineage: Eukaryota; Metazoa; Chordata; Amphibia; Anura; Strabomantidae. The record is from RNAcentral.
CCCCAUAUAGACCCCUUUAACUGUACUGAGAACUUCUAUAACAUUAUAGAACCUUUUAUGCUAAAACUAGUAACAAGAGUCAACCCCUCUCUACAAUGCAACUACAAGCCAGCAAGAACCCACCACUGGCAACUAACAGAUCUAAACAGGAGUAGCAACUAUACCAGAAAACUCUACUUUACUCACUGUUAACCUUACACUAGAGCAUUUCAAGAAAGAUUAAAAGAAAAAGAAGGAACUCGGCAAACUUUAGCCCCGCCUGUUUACCAAAAACAUCGCCUCUUGUCCAUAUAAGAGGUCCAGCCUGCCCAGUGACUCUUGUUCAACGGCCGCGGUAUCCUAACCGUGCGAAGGUAGCGUAAUCACUUGUCUUCUAAAUAAAGACCAGUAUGAAAGGCAUCACGAGAGCUAAACUGUCUCCUUUCCCUAAUCAGUGAACCUAAUCUCCCCGUGAAGAAGCGGGGGUUAUUAUAUAAGACGAGAAGACCCUAUGGAGCUUUAAACAUCACAACACCUGCCUCACACUUUUAUCUACCCAGGUAUACCCUCUCACAGCACGCUGAUUGUAUGUUUUUGGUUGGGGUGACCGCGGAGAAAAACUAAUCCUCCGCAAUGAAAGGGAUCUUCCCUAAACAAUAAGCCACAACUUUAUGUAUCCACAAAUUGACAUUCAUUGACCCAAUACAUUUGAUUAACGAACCAAGUUACCCUAGGGAUAACAGCGCAAUCCACUUCAAGAGCCCCUAUCGACAAGUGGGCUUACGACCUCGAUGUUGGAUCGGGGUAUCCUAGUGGUGUAGCCGCUACUAAAGGUUCGUUUGUUCAACGAUUAAAACCCUACGUGAUCUGA